GAAUUAUGAAAGUCAAAAAUUAGUUUCUAACUAAAAUUUUUAUAUGAGCA
RNAcentral lists this transfer RNA (50 nucleotides) under Peripatoides sympatrica. Its description in RNAcentral is "tRNA-Ser". The record is from RNAcentral. Lineage: Eukaryota; Metazoa; Onychophora; Udeonychophora; Euonychophora; Peripatopsidae.